RNAcentral lists this long non-coding RNA (802 nucleotides) under Homo sapiens (human). RNAcentral describes it as "MZF1 antisense RNA 1". The record is from RNAcentral. Lineage: Eukaryota; Metazoa; Chordata; Mammalia; Primates; Hominidae.
GAGCGCGGCGCGGGUGGUCACCUCCGCUGCUGCCGCCACCCGCCCGGCCUGCCUUUGACCCUAUGGGUCACAGACAAGGCAGGGUGAUCGCGGCAAGACCCUGAGUGAGACUAGAUGCGUUACCCAGAGGGUGCGAGGUCGAGUACCUUCCCUGUCCCAUCGCAAACCCAAAGAUCCCCGUUCCUGGAGAUUCUGAUUGAGGUCCCAGCCCUACCUGUCCUGAUGCCUGACCAGCAGGAUGCAAGCCCAGGAGGCCAUCCAGGAUACCAGGACUGGGAGAGAAUGCCCAGUGGUGAUUCCUGCAUAGUCCUAGGAGGUGUCUUGGGCCCAGGCUCUGGAGUUGGAGGCUCAGUUUCAGCUGCGGCUUUAGGAAGGAAUCUGCGUUUAUGAAGGGGAUGGCACCGCAGAAUCAUUCCCCCGUGGGUGGCAUCGAUUUCGAGGGCCGCCUCAUCCUGGGGGCCAAGCCUCCACUCUUCAAGGUGCCAAGUCAACCUGAAACCCUGGGAGAGACUUGGGUCAUAGCCAAGAUGGCAGGUACCUACGGAGGGUCCCGAAAUACACUUCCCAGAAGUCCAGGCGGCAACUUCCGCUCCAGGGUGCCAAGCCCUGGGCGCUCCCGCAAGGACUGCCCGGAUUCGUUCCCCGCGCUUCCGGUCUCACUGGGGAGCCGGAAUCCCCGAGUCUGCAGCCACCGCCCCCGUCCACACGAUAGCCCUCCCGGUUAAGAGGACCCCGCCCUCACCUCUGCGCUCAGCGGGCCGCUCCGCGCUCCUGAGCACGCGCAGUCUUCGACUUCCCCCUC